AGUGAAUAGAUACCCCGGUAGUCCCAGCCGUAAACGAUGCUCGCUAGGUGUCAGGCAUGGCGCGACCGUGUCUGGUGCCGCAGGGAAGCCGUGAAGCGAGCCACCUGGGAAGUACGGCCGCAAGGCUGAAACUUAAAGGAAUUGGCGGGGGAGCACAACAACGGGUGGAGCCUGCGGUUUAAUUGGACUCAACGCCGGACAACUCACCGGGGGCGACAGCAAUAUGUAGGCCAAGCUGAAGACUUUGCCUGAAUCGCUGAGAGGAGGUGCAUGGCCGUCGCCAGUUCGUACUGUGAAGCAUCCUGUUAAGUCAGGCAGCGAGCGAGACCCGUGCCCACUGUUACCAGCAUGUCCUCCGGGACGAUGGGUACUCUGUGGGGACCGCCGAUGUUAAAUCGGAGGAAGGUGCGGGCCACGGUAGGUCAGUAUGCCCCGAAUCUCCCGGGCUACACGCGGGCUACAAUGGAUGGGACAAUGGGUCCUCCCCUGAAAAGGGCUGGUAAUCUCACAAACCCAUUCGUAGUUCGGAUCGAGGGCU
This 538-nucleotide ribosomal RNA is filed under the name uncultured bacterium. RNAcentral's name for it is "bacterial SSU rRNA". It matches the Rfam family "Archaeal small subunit ribosomal RNA", at positions 724 to 1262 of the family's 1478-position model. The record is from RNAcentral.